CCGAUUUUAAAAGCCUUUUUAAAAUAGAGUUGCGGUAAACGUGCCAUUUUUUUUUUUUUUUAACUUGGCCCACGUGACGUACAGACCCGCCACAAAUACAAAGUUCCUCUAUCCAUUCAAACAGAGUCUCCUUUGUAUUUGCACGGCGUACCAACGAUACAACAGGAUCACAACCACAACCUAUAUUUACCAAACAACAACCAAAGCAUGAUAUGCAUUUCCAUACAGCUAACAAUCCUUAGAAUGAUGCAUGCUUCUAAGCACUCCUUAGGCGCUGGAUGAUACAAUGCACAAUACAACAAACAUCCUAUUUAAAAGUGCUCCCCACACGGAAACUUUUGUUUUUUAAACUCUAAUUCAAUCAUUUAUAAAAGCCAUUCGAAAAUCUUUUUAAAACUGUUUCCCACACGGAAACUUUAUUUUGAAAACCGACUACCUCGAAGGGUAGAAAACCACGAUGCAUAACUACAAGAAAACCAAAUCUCCACAGAACCAAAACCACAGAUCGAAAACUCCAAUCUCAUGUAAUAUAAAAUAUCCAUAAUCUCAUGCAUAACGGAAAUCACAACAUUCAAACAUCUAACUGAACCAUUUAUUUAAAUGACUACUAAAGGCGGGAA
This 620-nucleotide long non-coding RNA is filed under the name Ananas comosus (pineapple). Its description in RNAcentral is "long non-coding RNA (ACOM_LNC040582)". The record is from RNAcentral. Lineage: Eukaryota; Viridiplantae; Streptophyta; Magnoliopsida; Poales; Bromeliaceae.